CUGCUUUUGUGGGGUGCUCGAGUGGCGAACGGGUGAGUAACACGUGAGUAACCUGCCCUUGACUUUGGGAUAACUUCAGGAAACUGGGGCUAAUACCGGAUAGGAGCUCCUGCUGCAUGGUGGGGGUUGGAAAGUUUCGGCGGUUGGGGAUGGACUCGCGGCUUAUCAGCUUGUUGGUGGGGUAGUGGCUUACCAAGGCUUUGACGGGUAGCCGGCCUGAGAGGGUGACCGGCCACAUUGGGACUGAGAUACGGCCCAGACUCCUACGGGAGGCAGCAGUGGGGAAUAUUGCACAAUGGGCGGAAGCCUGAUGCAGCAACGCCGCGUGCGGGAUGACGGCCUUCGGGUUGUAAACCGCUUUCGCCUGUGACGAAGCGUGAGUGACGGUAAUGGGUAAAGAAGCACCGGCUAACUACGUGCCAGCAGCCGCGGUGAUACGUAGGGUGCGAGCGUUGUCCGGAUUUAUUGGGCGUAAAGGGCUCGUAGGUGGUUGAUCGCGUCGGAAGUGUAAUCUUGGGGCUUAACCCUGAGCGUGCUUUCGAUACGGGUUGACUUGAGGAAGGUAGGGGAGAAUGGAAUUCCUGGUGGAGCGGUGGAAUGCGCAGAUAUCAGGAGGAACACCAGUGGCGAAGGCGGUUCUCUGGGCCUUUCCUGACGCUGAGGAGCGAAAGCGUGGGGAGC
RNAcentral lists this ribosomal RNA (681 nucleotides) under uncultured Propionibacterium sp. Its description in RNAcentral is "bacterial SSU rRNA". It matches the Rfam family "Bacterial small subunit ribosomal RNA", at positions 75 to 769 of the family's 1533-position model. The record is from RNAcentral. Lineage: Bacteria; Bacillati; Actinomycetota; Actinomycetes; Propionibacteriales; Propionibacteriaceae.